RNAcentral lists this ribosomal RNA (398 nucleotides) under uncultured bacterium. RNAcentral describes it as "bacterial SSU rRNA". It matches the Rfam family "Bacterial small subunit ribosomal RNA", at positions 28 to 418 of the family's 1533-position model. The record is from RNAcentral.
GACGAACGCUGGCGGCGUGCCUAACACAUGCAAGUCGAGCGGGGUCCAUCCGGUAGCAAUACCGGGGAAGACCUAGCGGCGAACGGGUGAGUAACACGUGAGAAACCUGCCCCGAAGUCUGGGAUAACCCGAGGAAACUCGAGCUAAUACCGGAUGUCUUCUUCUGAUCGCAUGGUCGGAUGAAGAAAGAUUUAUCGCUUCGGGAGGGUCUCGCGGCCUAUCAGCUAGUUGGCGGGGUAACGGCCCACCAAGGCGUCGACGGGUAGCUGGUCUGAGAGGACGAUCAGCCACACUGGGACUGAGACACGGCCCAGACUCCUACGGGAGGCAGCAGUGGGGAAUAUUGCACAAUGGGCGAAAGCCUGACGCAGCAACGCCGCGUGCGGGAUGAAGGCCUU